GUGGGGAAUAUUGGACAAUGGGCGCAAGCCUGAUCCAGCCAUGCCGCGUGAGUGAUGAAGGCCUUAGGGUUGUAAAGCUCUUUCAGUGGGGACGAUAAUGACGGUACCCACAGAAGAAGCCCCGGCUAACUUCGUGCCAGCAGCCGCGGUAAUACGAAGGGGGCUAGCGUUGUUCGGAUUUACUGGGCGUAAAGCGCACGUAGGCGGAUCGUUAAGUCGGGGGUGAAAUCCUGGAGCUCACCUCCAGAACUGCCUUCGAUACUGGCGAUCUUGAGUCCGGAAGAGGUGAGUGGAACUCCUAGUGUAGAGGUGGAAGUCGUAGAUAUUAGGAGGAACACCAGUGGCGAAGGCGGCUCACUGGCUCGAUACUGACGCUGAGGUGCGAAAGCGUGGGGAGCAAACAGGAUUAGAUACCCCAGUAGUCC
Molecule: ribosomal RNA, 425 nt
Filed under: uncultured bacterium
Lineage: Bacteria
Description: partial 16S ribosomal RNA
Rfam family: Bacterial small subunit ribosomal RNA
Source: RNAcentral